This 253-nucleotide ribosomal RNA is filed under the name uncultured bacterium. Its description in RNAcentral is "partial 16S ribosomal RNA". It matches the Rfam family "Bacterial small subunit ribosomal RNA", at positions 524 to 776 of the family's 1533-position model. The record is from RNAcentral.
UACGUAGGGUGCAAGCGUUAAUCGGAAUUACUGGGCGUAAAGCGUGCGCAGGCGGUUUCGUAAGUCUGUCGUGAAAUCCCCGGGCUUAACCUGAGAAUGGCGAUGGAGACUGCGAGGCUAGAGUUUGGCAGAGGGGGGUAGAAUUCCACGUGUAGCAGUGAAAUGCGUAGAGAUGUGGAGGAACACCGAUGGCGAAGGCAGCCCCCUGGGUCAAAACUGACGCUCAUGCACGAAAGCGUGGGGAGCAAACAGG